Molecule: transfer RNA, 74 nt
Filed under: Euryarchaeota archaeon CG01_land_8_20_14_3_00_38_12
Lineage: Archaea; Methanobacteriati; Methanobacteriota
Also listed under: 3 other names
Description: tRNA-Lys
Rfam family: tRNA
About the family: Transfer RNA (tRNA) molecules are approximately 80 nucleotides in length.
Source: RNAcentral
GGGCCUGUAGCUCAGACAGGUAGAGCACUCGGCUCUUAACCGAAUGGUCAGGGGUUCAAAUCCCCUCAGGCCCG